This 66-nucleotide transfer RNA is filed under the name bovine gut metagenome. It matches the Rfam family "tRNA", at positions 5 to 66 of the family's 71-position model. Rfam says of the family: Transfer RNA (tRNA) molecules are approximately 80 nucleotides in length. Their secondary structure includes four short double-helical elements and three loops (D, anti-codon, and T loops). Further hydrogen bonds mediate the characteristic L-shaped molecular structure. tRNAs have two regions of fundamental functional importance: the anti-codon, which is responsible for specific mRNA codon recognition, and the 3' end, to which the tRNAs corresponding amino acid is attached (by aminoacyl-tRNA synthetases). tRNAs cope with the degeneracy of the genetic code in two manners: having more than one tRNA (with a specific anti-codon) for a particular amino acid; and 'wobble' base-pairing, i.e. permitting non-standard base-pairing at the 3rd anti-codon position. The record is from RNAcentral.
CCGGUGGCUCAGUUGGUUAGAGCGCUGCCCUGUCACGGCAGAGGUCAGGGGUUCGAGUCCCCUUCG